Molecule: ribosomal RNA, 253 nt
Filed under: uncultured bacterium
Lineage: Bacteria
Description: partial 16S ribosomal RNA
Rfam family: Bacterial small subunit ribosomal RNA
Source: RNAcentral
UACGAAGGUGGCAAGCGUUGUUCGGAUUUACUGGGCGUACAGGGAGCGUAGGCGGUUGGAUAAGCCCUCCGUGAAAUCUCCAGGCUUAACCUGGAAAGUGCAGAGGGGACUGUUCAGCUAGAGGAUGGGAGAGGAGCGCGGAAUUCCCGGUGUAGCGGUGAAAUGCGUAGAGAUCGUAAGGAAGACCAGUGGCGAAGGCGGGUCUCUGGACAGUUCCUGACGCUGAGGCACGAAGGUCAGGGGAGCAAACGGG